CCUACGGGAGGCAGCAGUGGGGAAUAUUGCACAAUGGGGGAAACCCUGAUGCAGCGACGCCGCGUGAGCGAAGAAGUAUCUCGGUAUGUAAAGCUCUAUCAGCAGGGAAGAAAAUGACGGUACCUGACUAAGAAGCCCCGGCUAACUACGUGCCAGCAGCCGCGGUAAUACGUAGGGGGCAAGCGUUAUCCGGAUUUACUGGGUGUAAAGGGAGCGUAGACGGCGGUGCAAGUCAGGAGUGAAAGCCCGGGGCUCAACCCCGGAACUGCAUUGGAAACUGUACGGCUGGAGUGUAGGAGGGGCAGGCGGAAUUCCUAGUGUAGCGGUGAAAUGCGUAGAUAUUAGGAGGAACACCAGUGGCGAAGGCGGCCUGCUGGACGAUGACUGACGUUGAGGCUCGAAAGCGUGGGGAGCAAACAGGAUUAGAUACCCCGGUAGUC
This 440-nucleotide ribosomal RNA is filed under the name uncultured bacterium. RNAcentral's name for it is "partial 16S ribosomal RNA". It matches the Rfam family "Bacterial small subunit ribosomal RNA", at positions 338 to 795 of the family's 1533-position model. The record is from RNAcentral.